GAGGAUGCUUUUGGUUAGGUGCCUUACGAGUUCCCUGGAACGGGACGCCUUAGAGGGUGAGAGCCCCGUACGUUUGGUUACCGAGCCUCUGUAAAGCUCCUUYGACGAGUCGAGUAGUUUGGGAAUGCUGCUCUAAAUGGGAGGUAAAUUUCUUCUAAAGCUAAAUACCGGCCAGAGACCGAUAGCGCACAAGUAGAGUGAUCGAAAGAUGAAAAGCACUUUGAAAAGAGGGUUAAAUAGCACGUGAAAUUGUUGAAAGGGAAGCGUUUAUGACCAGACUUUUUCCUGGCGGAUCAUCCGGUGUUCUCACCGGUGCACUUCGCCAGGUUUAGGCCAGCAUCGGUUUUCGCCGGGGGAUAAAAGCAGUGGUAAUGUGGCUCCCUCCGGGGAGUGUUAUAGACCGCUGCAUAAUACCCUGGCGGGGACCGA
RNAcentral lists this ribosomal RNA (429 nucleotides) under Sordariomycetes sp. Its description in RNAcentral is "eukaryotic LSU rRNA". The record is from RNAcentral. Lineage: Eukaryota; Fungi; Ascomycota; Sordariomycetes.